This 400-nucleotide ribosomal RNA is filed under the name uncultured bacterium. RNAcentral describes it as "bacterial SSU rRNA". It matches the Rfam family "Bacterial small subunit ribosomal RNA", at positions 356 to 773 of the family's 1533-position model. The record is from RNAcentral.
GGGGAAUAUUGCACAAUGGGGGGAACCCUGAUGCAGCGACGCCGCGUGAGUGAGGAAGUAUUUCGGUAUGUAAAGCUCUAUCAGCAGGGAAGAAAAUGACGGUACCUGACUAAGAAGCCCCGGCUAACUACGUGCCAGCAGCCGCGGUAAUACGUAGGGGGCAAGCGUUAUCCGGAUUUACUGGGUGUAAAGGGAGCGUAGGUGGUGUGUUAAGUCAGAUGUGAAAGCCCGGGGCUCAACUCCGGGAUUGCAUUUGAAACUAGCAUACUAGAGUGCAGGAGAGGUAAGUGGAAUUCCUAGUGUAGCGGUGAAAUGCGUAGAUAUUAGGAGGAACACCAGUGGCGAAGGCGGCUUACUGGACUGUAACUGACACUGAGGCUCGAAAGCGUGGGGAGCAAAC